Long non-coding RNA from Chrysemys picta bellii (western painted turtle), 1357 nucleotides. RefSeq lists it as uncharacterized. The record is from RefSeq and is a predicted model, not a curated record. NCBI's taxonomy places the organism in Eukaryota, Metazoa, Chordata, Testudines, Emydidae.
CUGGAAGCUGGCGCCUGGGGGUCUACCCUAGGACCAGCCUUUUGGGAAGUGCAUCUGUGUCACUGAAUCAAAGGGAAAUUAUGUUGCUUUUCAAAUCUAUUUUUCUUGUUCCAUUUUUCCAUUCAGGAACCCAGGAAUCAGCAUAAGGAAUAAUCCCUACUUCUGACCCCUCUGAAGAUGUGAAAGAUUCUGAACCCAGUGGGACCAGCAUGUUUCUGCUAAACAGGCAGUUGGCUGCAGGAAGUAACUACAGGGAGUCUGCACCUCCAUUAUACUACUGAUCUUCCAAGACCUAUUGCAAAGGCAUUUUAAGAUAUAUAGACGCACAUGGUGACUGCCCUGAAGAGAUUACAGUCUAAAUUCAGCCAUGAUAUAAGGAAUGGAAGUAACAGAUAGCAAGGUGGCAGGAUUCCACCAUCACCUACUAUCGAUGAAGUUACUUGCAAAGAAAGAGUUGCAUGCAAACAGGUUUUGAUUUUUUUAAACAAAAAACACUGUUAGAGUAUUGUGAAAUAUUUAAAAAUAAACGUUAAGAGACAAUGAUACUUACAAGUGAUAAGAGAAAAAUACGUUCAAUAAACUGCAGCUUGACUAUUGAAUAAGAUAAAUUUUAUGGCUGGAAGUAAUUCAGAGAAAACAGAAUGAAAGAUGUUAUUUUCCUAGCAAAAGAACGGACACAAGCCCUUGGUUUUAAACAAGUAAAAUCCUUUUCUCCCAUAUCUAAUAUUUCUGCUAAUUGGAAAAACUAACUAACCCAAUUAGUUUAAUGCAACUGUAAUUAGUAUGUAUAUUACCAGCUAAAAGAAGUACAAGAUUAAAGAACUAGCUUAAUAAUGCCCCAAAAUCAAAUUCCUAAAAAUUUAGCAACCUACCUAGUACUGAGUACUAUGAGAUAAUGACUAUACCCCUUUUUUUCUUGUUUCCUUUUUUUAUUUUAUUGGUAUAAAAUACAAGUUAAUCUCUGGACUUCAAGUUAAUCUGACAGGAUUUAUUAUAUUCACUAGUCCAAAAUCUGCUCUCGCAGUAUUGAAUUUGUGCUUAUACCAUAGUUGGGGACAGAAUGGCCCCUUGUCUAAGAUGACAUAAUGUGGCAACAUGGCUAUCAUUCUACAAUUCCUAAUAACCAUGAAAAACGAUAGUCUGUAAUAAAAUGAAUAUUUAUUUUAUAUCAAACUACUUAAAAAAAAUUGUUCCAAAAUGUCAUGGUUUGAGACCGUUCCAAGUUGUUUUAGACUUUUUGUUGUGUACUUUCACUUCAUAUAUAAAUAUAAACUGUGAUAUGCUCAACAAUUUUCAGGUUAUAAUCCAUGAAAUACGUAUCAGGGCAUGUUUGGCAACUAUUAAAGCUAUUUCCAGA